Molecule: ribosomal RNA, 1525 nt
Filed under: Triticum aestivum (bread wheat)
Lineage: Eukaryota; Viridiplantae; Streptophyta; Magnoliopsida; Poales; Poaceae
Description: partial small subunit ribosomal RNA
Source: RNAcentral
UCCCCCGCCAUCGCUACCACCACCACCUCCCCUGCUUCCCCCCACUCCACUGCCGCACCACCACCGCAACACCACCUUCCCCCGCGCCACUGCACCACCAUCACUGCCACCUCAGAACCGCCGCCGCCGAAAGGGGAUAGGGCCGUGCCUCGGCCUCCCUCCCCGUGACCCAUCCCCACCCACUGCUCCCACCCGCGCACAGACCCACCCACGCCGCAUCUCCCCGCCACCGGACCCAUCCCGGCCUGGGCUCCUCCUGCACCCGUGCGAGGCGAUGAUGGCUGGCGGCGUCGACUAUUGCUAGCGCGCAGGGGAGAUGCCCUUUGUGGCGGGCGACCAAAAUCCCCAUCAUCACCGCUUCACGCCAAUACUCAGCCCCCUGACCUCCGACGACCUCCUACUGGUCGCCGCGGCCGGAUCCACACUUCCAACCUUCGGAUCGGUCGUGGCCCUGCCUUGCCUCGUCAUCCUGCGUGAAUCCCGCUGGAUCUUGCGGCGGGUGGCCUGGAAAUUGAGGCGGAUUCAGGCUUGACGAAAAGGGAUCCAUGCCUCCGAGGCACGCCGGUGACGAGUAACACAAGCAGGGAGGGAGCGCCACACGACAAGCGCCAGCCAUGGGCUCUGCCUUCCUCCGCAUCCCUAACCUCUGCGUUGCCCAUCUAUGUGGGGGCGCCUCGGCUCCCCGACGCAAUUCCACUGGGUCGCGAGUGAGGUUCACCAUGCACCAGUGUGCCUCCCCCUGUGUAGCCUCCCUCCACCGCACCUCCUCCAGCGGCUAGAGAGGAGGACGAUGGCCACCCGACGAGACGCUAGGGUCUGCUGUCUCCGGCCAGAGCGAGGACGGCCACACUAUGAGGCGCGCUAGGCUCCCCAACCUUUCUCCCAGGAGGGGAUCGAGCAAUCAACUCGGGUUCGUUGGUGGCUGGUUCUACAAACAACCACCGCGGGGAAACACUGGUGCCGAUGAGCAGGGCGAGCACCGCCACUCCUCACCUCCCUCGCUGGAUUCUUGCAGUUCGCGAGCACGACAGUUAGGAGUGCAGAUAAAAUGUCGUUGCAGGUUAGUUGUGGUCGUUGGUGCAGUUCCCCGGCGCGUGGGGGUUCAGUUUAAGGCAUGCUAUGCUGCAGUGUGGAUGCAUGUGGGCAUGUAUUUAACUUGGUGUGGGCAGGAGGUUCUGCAGCUGUCGCAUUGCAUUUCGCCGGAGGAAACAACAAUUCGGUUCAAAGACCGACGUGAUUAAUUUUUUUUCUGGCGUUCAGUUUGGAGUGAGUGCGUAUGUGCAGUACUAAAAAUGAUGGGGUGUAUAUGUUGGUGUAGUUCAUUUCUGUAAUGCUAGCACGCCGCCGAGGCAUGGCUCAGCCCCCGUGGAUGUUUAACUGCCGUUCAGUUUGCUAUGCAGAUAAGAAACUGAAGUGCACUGCAAUAUUUUUCAAUUUUUUUUAAAUGCAGACAUUGCCUUCUGCUUUUUGUUUUUGGACUCAUGGACUCAUACAGACGGGUCGCUUAUUCCUACCAUCAUGGUUC